RNAcentral lists this ribosomal RNA (468 nucleotides) under uncultured bacterium. RNAcentral's name for it is "partial 16S ribosomal RNA". It matches the Rfam family "Bacterial small subunit ribosomal RNA", at positions 28 to 507 of the family's 1533-position model. The record is from RNAcentral.
GACGAACGCUGGCGGCGUGCUUAACACAUGCAAGUCGAACGGAAAGGCCCUGCUUUUGUGGGGUGCUCGAGUGGCGAACGGGUGAGUAACACGUGAGUAACCUGCCCUUGACUUUGGGAUAACUUCAGGAAACUGGGGCUAAUACCGGAUAGGAGCUCCUGCUGCAUGGUGGGGGUUGGAAAGUUUCGGCGGUUGGGGAUGGACUCGCGGCUUAUCAGCUUGUUGGUGGGGUAGUGGCUUACCAAGGCUUUGACGGGUAGCCGGCCUGAGAAGGUGAACGGCCACAUUGGGCCUGAGAUACGGCCCAGACUCCUACGGGAGGCAGCAGUGGGGAAUAUUGCACAAUGGGCGGAAGCCUGAUGCAGCAACGCCGCGUGCGGGAUGACGGCCUUCGGGUUGUAAACCGCUUUCGCCUGUGACGAAGCGUGAGUGACGGUAAUGGGUAAAGAAGCACCGGCUAACUACGUG